Molecule: transfer RNA, 66 nt
Filed under: Phlugiolopsis brevis
Lineage: Eukaryota; Metazoa; Arthropoda; Insecta; Orthoptera; Tettigoniidae
Description: tRNA-Phe
Rfam family: tRNA
About the family: Transfer RNA (tRNA) molecules are approximately 80 nucleotides in length. Their secondary structure includes four short double-helical elements and three loops (D, anti-codon, and T loops).
Source: RNAcentral
AUUUAAAUAGCUUAUAUGUAGAGCAUGACACUGAAGAUGUUAAGGAAAUUGAAUAAUUUUUAAAUA